This 756-nucleotide ribosomal RNA is filed under the name Chroococcidiopsis sp. YRS 4a. RNAcentral's name for it is "bacterial SSU rRNA". It matches the Rfam family "Bacterial small subunit ribosomal RNA", at positions 45 to 840 of the family's 1533-position model. Lineage: Bacteria; Bacillati; Cyanobacteriota; Cyanophyceae; Chroococcidiopsidales; Chroococcidiopsidaceae. The record is from RNAcentral.
UGCUUAACACAUGCAAGUCGAACGGGAAGUUUUCGGACUUCUAGUGGCGGACGGGUGAGUAACGCGUGAGAAUCUGCCUUUUGGACGGGGACAACUGCUGGAAACGGCAGCUAAGACCGGAUGUGCCGCAAGGUGAAAUAUUGUAUAGCCAAAAGAGGAGCUCGCGACCGAUUAGCUAGUUGGUGGGGUAAGAGCCUACCAAGGCUGCGAUCGGUAGCCGGUUUGAGAGGACGACCGGCCACACUGGGACUGAGACACGGCCCAGACUCCUACGGGAGGCAGCAGUGGGGAAUUUUCCGCAAUGGGCGAAAGCCUGACGGAGCAAUACCGCGUGAGGGAGGAAGGCUCUUGGGUCGUAAACCUCUUUUCUCAGGGAAGAAUCAAUGACGGUACCUGAGGAAUCAGCAUCGGCUAACUCCGUGCCAGCAGCCGCGGUAAUACGGAGGAUGCAAGCGUUAUCCGGAAUGAUUGGGCGUAAAGCGUCCGCAGGUGGCACAUCAAGUCUGCUGUCAAAGCCCCCAGCUUAACUGGGAAGAGGCGGUGGAAACUGGUGAGCUAGAGAGCAAUAGGGGUAGAGGGAAUUCCCGGUGUAGCGGUGAAAUGCGUAGAGAUCGGGAAGAACACCAGUGGCGAAAGCGCUCUACUAGGUUGCAACUGACACUGAGGGACGAAAGCUAGGGGAGCGAAUGGGAUUAGAUACCCCAGUAGUCCUAGCCGUAAACGAUGGAUACUAGGCGUUUCUCGUAUCGACCCGAG